GAAUACAAAAAGAAAACAGACAGGUUGACAAGGAAGAUGUGAAAGGUGUGGGGCCAUUUGCCCCAUUCCCCUCACCAUCUCCCCCCUUUGGUUUUGGUUCUCGAAGUUGAGAGGAAAAAGGGUUUAUUUUGGUGAAGUGAUGGUUGAUUUGAUGGAGAGGUUUGGAAGUGGGUGUUGCAGGCUUUUGAUGGUGCAGUCAAGACCAAGGACCAUGACUCUCCAUCCCUAUGUCUACGAAUUCUCCACCCUUUCCUUCCUGUACCCUCUCUCUCUUCCCCCACAUUGCCAAGCACAAUUUUCAGACACUUUCAUGGGGUACAAUUUUCACACACUUUCAUGGGGUGUUGUGAUUUCUGAAAGGAAGUUCUUCAACAAGAGAUACUUCUCUUGCAUUUAAUAAAUCUUUAGAGUUUGAUAUGACUUCAUAAUCUUCAGAACUCGGUUGGAGAGGAGGAACGAAACAUUGCCUAUUAUAAGGGUGUGGAAACCUUACCCUACCAUACGCUUUUUAAAGCCUUUAGGGGAAACCCGAAAGG
This is a long non-coding RNA of Cucurbita moschata (crookneck pumpkin), 536 nucleotides long. RefSeq lists it as uncharacterized. Lineage: Eukaryota; Viridiplantae; Streptophyta; Magnoliopsida; Cucurbitales; Cucurbitaceae. The record is from RefSeq and is a predicted model, not a curated record. The transcript has 2 exons.